UAGGGAAUCUUCGGCAAUGGACGAAAGUCUGACCGAGCAACGCCGCGUGAGUGAAGAAGGUUUUCGGAUCGUAAAACUCUGUUGUUAGAGAAGAACAAGGACGUUAGUAACUGAACGUCCCCUGACGGUAUCUAACCAGAAAGCCACGGCUAACUACGUGCCAGCAGCCGCGGUAAUACGUCGGUGGCAAGCGUUGUCCGGAUUUAUUGGGCGUAAAGCGACCGCAGGCGGUUUCUUCAGUCUGAUGUGAAAGCCCCCGGCUCACCCGGGGAGGGUCAUUGGAAACUGGUAGACUUGAGUGCAGAAGAGGGGAGUGGAAUUCCAUGUGUAGUGGUGAACUGCAUAGAUAUAUGGAGGAACACCAGUGGCGAAGGCGGCUCUCUGGUCUGUAACUGACGCUGUGGCUCGAAAGCGUGGGGGGCAAACAGG
This 429-nucleotide ribosomal RNA is filed under the name Gemmatimonadota bacterium. RNAcentral's name for it is "Gemmatimonadetes bacterium partial 16S ribosomal RNA". It matches the Rfam family "Bacterial small subunit ribosomal RNA", at positions 355 to 776 of the family's 1533-position model. Lineage: Bacteria; Pseudomonadati; Gemmatimonadota. The record is from RNAcentral.